UACGUAGGCAGCAAGCGUUGUUCGGAAUUACUGGGCGUAAAGAGUGUGUAGGCGGUGCUCCAAGUCUGGUGUGAAAUCUCCCGGCUUAACUGGGAGGGUGCAUUAGAAACUGGAAUGCUAGAGGAUGGGAGAGGUAAGCGGAAUUCCUGGUAUAGCGGUGAAAUGCGUAGAUAUCAGGAGGAACACCGGUGGUGUAGACGGCUUACUGGACCACGACUGACGCUGAGGCACGAAAGCGUGGGUAGCAAACAGG
RNAcentral lists this ribosomal RNA (253 nucleotides) under uncultured bacterium. RNAcentral's name for it is "partial 16S ribosomal RNA". It matches the Rfam family "Bacterial small subunit ribosomal RNA", at positions 524 to 776 of the family's 1533-position model. The record is from RNAcentral.